RNAcentral lists this ribosomal RNA (253 nucleotides) under uncultured bacterium. RNAcentral describes it as "partial 16S ribosomal RNA". It matches the Rfam family "Bacterial small subunit ribosomal RNA", at positions 524 to 776 of the family's 1533-position model. The record is from RNAcentral.
UACGAAGGGGGCUAGCGUUGCUCGGAAUCACUGGGCGUAAAGGGUGCGUAGGCGGGGUUUUAAGUCAGGGGUGAAAUCCUGGAGCUCAACUCCAGAACUGCCUUUGAUACUGAAGAUCUCGAGUCCGGGAGAGGUGAGUGGAACUGCGAGUGUAGAGGUGAAAUUCGUAGAUAUUCGCAAGAACACCAGUGGCGAAGGCGGCUCACUGGCCCGGUACUGACGCUGAGACGCGAAAGCGUGGGGAGCGAACAGG